Molecule: long non-coding RNA, 7509 nt
Organism: Equus caballus (horse)
Lineage: Eukaryota; Metazoa; Chordata; Mammalia; Perissodactyla; Equidae
Source: RefSeq, a predicted model, not a curated record
CUGGGUCCUCCUGCGUUCAGUCCUUCUCCCUCCAUGGGCACCCUAUCUCGGAUCAUCUCUCCUCUCUCAGGCUCUACUCGCUUUCAGCAGGCCCCAGCUCUUCACACAAGACCCACAGCCCCCUACACACCCACACCCACGCAGCACCCCACCCUCACCGUUCCCAGGCGAGGGCUCCUGCACCUUCCUGAAGGGACGUUAAGAUAUUGAGUACUUGGGCAACUCUGUAACCAUGGGGGCAUGCCAGUUUAUCAUGGGCAAGCCUGAACCUCAGCGAGGCCCAGGGGAGAGGCUGUAUCCCCACCCCUUCCUGGGGAAUCUCAGCAGACAGGCCCUUAAUCUCAGGCAGGAAGCAGGGUCCAGUUACGUGGAGGGGGGGGGGAACACGGGGGGAAUACCCAGGGUUUGGGUAAAGGGAGUUGGGGUGGGGGGAGGGGGGAGGGAAGGAAAAGAGCUGAGUGGGAUACAGGCUGAGAGAUUAACCCUUCACAGCCAGGCUCCUCUCUGCUCCCCAUCCUGUGCUCUUGGAGACUCCAUAAUUCCCUGGCACAAUAAGGCUUUGCCGGGACAGGCCUCCCAUGUAAGGCACCCCCAAGGCCUCUGGCCACAGGACAGCAAAACAGCCUUGGCUAGGGCCCCACUCUCUCCAAGGUCCUCUUCUGGUUUCCUGUGAGCCACAUGUAUCUCUGUUUGCCCCAUGACUCUAUUAGUCUCUCGGGGUUUCUGAAUCUCUGUGUUUCUCUGCUGUUUGUCUGAUUCUGUGUCUCUCAGGGCCCCUGUAUUUCUGCCUGCAUCACGAUGUGUCUUCUGUACAUCCACCCCUCUCUCUGCGAUCUGUAAAACCUCUGUGUGCUUGUCCGGAGUGGAGGGUCUGCACCUCCCUCUCUGUGUCUGUCUGCUGUCUCUGGGGCUCUGAGUCUGCUUAAGUCUCCGUAUCUCCAUGUCUCUCUCGCUCUGCGUCUUGAGCUAUCUAGGUCUCAGUGUGCCUGCUGCAUGUCUGUCUGUCUGUCUGGGACUGGGCCUCCAUCUGUGAGUCUGCUCCAGGCCUGUCUGUCUCUGACCUGGGACCCUUUGGCUUGUCCAUUCGGUUAACUUUGUGCGGUGGGGACGAGAUGGGGCAGACUUAUGGGCUGGACCAAGGAUAGAUGGAUGAAGGGAGGAGGGAGAAAGGGGACACAGGCAGUAGUGGGGCAAAGAGAUCUAGGGACAAACUCCCGUUCCUAAAUGGUGCCUGAGGCCGGUGGACAGCCCUGGAAGACCAGGAGGCAGCACCGCCAAGCCAGUGGGUGAGGGAGGGAGUGACACGGCAGGCAACACGCCUGGUCAGUGGUGGGAGCAGAGUGGCACAGAAACUGAAACAGAUGUCAAAUGGGGAGGGCCCAGAAGCGAAUGGAAAGACAGACGGGCAGCAGUGGGUUCUGAUCCUGGCCCCACCACUAACCCCUGCGGACCUGGGGCUGGGUGCUUUCCGUCUCUGUGCCUCAGUCAUCUGCUCUGUAAAAUGGGACAGUCAGCAGAGAACAUCCUCUAGAAUUCUGUGAGAGAGCCAGGCGGGCAGAAGACCUCCCUAAACCCAGGGCAGGAGACUGGUGGCCCCUUUGUCCCUUGAGGGGGUAUCCCAAAGUCCCUUCCCAGUACCAAGAUCCUCUGUGUCAAUGCAGCCAGGGUCAGAACAGAGGGAAGAUGGAAGUUAGAUAGCAGGAAGGACUUCCUGCCACACAGCAGGAGGGUGAAGAGGCCCCAGAUUCUCCUCCCAGCGGUCCUCGAGGCCCCUCUCUUGGGGCUGGGGGUGGAGGGGCAGGGUGGGGGUGGGGGCUCAGCAGCUGGGUAAUUAGCCAUUGCUCUCAGGCCCUGGGGGAGGGGCCGGCUGGACUGAGAAACGAACGCAAAGUGACAGGGGCAGUUUUGACACGCGGUGGAGCUGACGGGCCCAGGGGGCCAGGGCUUUGGUUUGGGGGGGGGGGGUGAAAAUCCCAUCAGAUGAUUAAAAAAUAGGUCAGAGGGAAGAAGCUGCAGCCGGCACUGGGUCCGUGGUGAGAACGCCAUGAAGCUUCCCCAGGGCUUCGGGCCACAAUGGGGUGGGGGAGCUGAGGAGGGUUUGCAGGGGGCGGGUGAGCUAGCAGUGGGGACAAGAAAGCUGUGGGCCCAGCAGCUGGCCCUCUGUCUCCCUCAGCCUGUCUCAUGGGGACACUUUGGAAUUCUACCUGCGGUCCACCUUCUGGCCUUCCUGUACCAUCUUCCUCCUCAAAGGCAGGAAGAUGCAGCUCGUCCUCUGCCCACCCCUACCCCACCCACAAUAUAUACAGAUUCUACCCCAGGAACACUGAGACUGUUGCCCCCACUGAAAACCCUUCUUACCUUCUAGCCUGAGGUCCUCCGGCUGCAAAGGCAGCUGGCUGACUUAUUCUACAUUUCUUGCCCAUCUGAACAAAUUCACCUACCACUGCACUGUCUUUGAAAUCUUGCCAACUCUGCAUCCUGCUUGGGGUCUGCCUUGGCCCUCCAGCUUGUUCUCAGAGAUCCCUUUUCCCUCCUUCCCUCCUUUUCCUCCUUCUCAACUCCUGCCAUGAAACAUAAUAGAGGCCUGGAAAAGGCAAAAGGCAGAGAACAAGGAGGUGUGAGGUAGGAGACCCAGGAGCCUGAGGCAGGUUGAUGAUCUCCAAGCACUUAGUAGAUGGAGGCUAAGUGACUGUGUCUGGAUUGUACAGAACCCUGAGACACCUGGUGGUAUUCCCUUUAUUUAAGCAGUUUAGAGCCACCUCCCACCUUACCUACGUAAUGGUGGGAAGUCCUUUCAGUUGCCUUCCCACAGCCCCUCAUACUGCAGCUUAAUCCAAUUUCCUUUUCUGAGAUCCCUGAAACCCAUGGAGAGAUCAGCACCUACAGCUUGGAGUGGAAGAGAGGCCCGGGACCUACACGCCAUGCUCCGUUCCUCUCAAACCCCAGGCACAGGCAGAAAUCAGGCAGCCAACCAGCGGCCGGAGCAGAGGGACAGACCAGGCAUUAGCAGUGUCAUCUCCAGCUGAGUGGACACCUGGGUCUCAGCCACUGCGAUGGAGGGCACCCAAGGCCAUGUUGGCGCAGAAAUGGAUUGGCUAAAUCUGACCUUGAGUUUAACCCCACUUACCACCCCAGACACAGAUCCACUCUGACACACAAGUCUGAGAUUUCCCCGGGAGCCUGUUGUCUGCUGCCCACCCCCCUCAGUUACCCAAGAAGUGUCACAAGGCGUCCUGCUAACCUCCUUCCACCAGGGCCAUGGGCGGCUGGCACUCUGUGCAGGACCCUGAGACAGCCCCUGGACCUCUAGCCACAGGGGGCAUGAAGCUGGUGUGCCGCCCAUCUCUGCUCCCUCCCCAUGCCUGCCUCCAUUUCUUUCCAAUCAGUGGCACCAGAACCUGACGUUUCUGUGGGUUGGGGAGGGCUGCUUUGGUCAGGUUAAGUCCUCAGCAACUGGACCAGCAACUGGGAAUCAAGAUACUGGGCCAUGGCCUUUGCAUUUCACACACACACACACACUGACCUGGGGUCACCACCCAAGGCUCAGGGCCCCAGGAAUGGGCCGUGUACCAGGGUUCGCAGGCUCCCACUACCCUGGACAUAUUGCCAAGUCCAGCUUGUACUUGGUCUCAUGCCUUGACUCCCAGUGAGUUUGGAAACUGGAAAAACCCGAGUUCUUCCUGAUUCUCCCAUUCGCCCUGCUGCUGCUGGGGGCACGGAGGAAGAGACCAGAGAACACCCCCAGGCAAUUCACACCCUUGAUUUCGUUAGACUGCACAAUGCUGUGAGGUCACCUGGGCAGGGAUCAUGUUCCCCACUUUACAGACAAGGCAGAGAGAAGUUAAGUACCUUGUCAAGGUCACGCAGCUGAUGCCCCAAUGCUGGGCCCUUAUGCUGGCACCAUGCCUUCCCAUGACCCCAAAGAGGAUACUGUUGUUCUUCUCAUUUUACAGAUGAGCAAACUGAUGCUCAGAGGGGUGACUCAGUUUCCCCAGGCUCUCAGUUAUUUUUACCUGCUAUCCCUCUCUCCUCAUAAGGUGUCCCUCUCAACCCAAUUCCACCUUAGAGUCCUUCCCCUUCCUCCAGAGAAAGGCAAGACCCUAAUGCCUCCCCAGAUCACCCAGUGAGCUUUCCCCUGUACUCUGGGAAGUCACUCCUGGUGUCCUGUUCUGCAAAAUUAAACUCCAUUACUCAGCAAAUACCAUCCCAACCUAUGGGGCAGGAGGGGUGGGAAGCAGGACUGAGGAACUGAAAUGGGAGGGACUGGCUCAGAGGCACAGACACGGCCGGCUGGGCCGGGCAUGCUGGCAGUGGAGGAAACCGGGUCCAGACGGGAAGAGCCCGGGAGUCCCAGCUUCCAGGAGCAGGGGUAGGGGGUAGGGACAUUCCUCAGUUCUCUGAACUCCCUGCCCCUGGCAACCAGGCCCACCGCCUCACAUCCAAGCUGGUAGGUGUUUCCAUGUGAGUGGGGAGGGGGCCUGGAUAGCUCUUAGAAAUGGGGGAGGGACGUCACUGGGCAUGCUCCCUGCCAAGCAAUGCUGCCUCCCUCUCCCUGCCCACUCGGAGGUUCAUUACACCUUCAGCUCUGCCCUCGCCCGCCCUCUUGCUUCUCACCUUGGCACCUGUGAGCCAGUAGCCAAGUGAGGGGCAGCAGAGCCAGCUGGAGCUUCCAGCUUCUCCGCCCCUCUCCGUGCCAACCUGACUGCCUAUGGUUCUGGGGACCCCUGUUUGCCCCGGCUGCGGCAAUAGCUCUGGGGGUACCAUGGGGGAGCUUAACAGUUCCCAUUCUGUGCUGGGAGUGAGGAGGGGGGAAAUAGAGCCAUCCUCUGGCCCCAUACUUGCCUCAAGAUCUAAAGCCCCUGAACCUGCCAUCUUUCUUUAAGGAACCCAGGAAGACUUCCAAAGAGAUCAUCUGAGGCAGAGUCCCUUCCUUGCUUGGGCUGUAAUUUCUUCCUCGAGUCUAACCUUGAUUCCUUGCAGAGGGGUGGAAGGGGGCAGAGAUGAAUCGCAGUUUCUUAUAAACCUGGUGGCUUCUUGUUCCCCGAUGACAAUACAGCGGACGAGCUCUGUGGUUCUGGCUCUGAGUCAGGCCCCAUCGCCCGGGCGUCCCCAGUGCCAUCUCCCUCCGCCCCGCCCCAGACUGGAAAAUGAGGCUCACGCUGCUGCCGGAGUCAGUGCUUCCCCUGCUUCCCCUCACGAUCUCGCUUUCCCCUAAAGGGAGGUAUUUCCUCGAAGCUGGGAAAAGUCAAGGGGGCAGAGACCUCACCAGCUACCGGGAGGGGAGGCGGAGGGUGGGCACCGGGCAGGGGGUGGGGGAGGGGCUACCCUGCCUUCCUGUCCCCCCUCCCCCCUUUCAGCCCAGCUCCCCAGUCCUGUUCUUCUAGUUCAUCGGAUGUGUGAGCGAGAGUGCGAGCGUGGUGUGUGCGUGUGUGUGCUUAACACAUGUGUGUGAUUGGUACUGGGGGUGAGUCCCCCUAGCCCCCAAAAGUGGAGGUGGGAUGGAGGAGGCGAGGUGCUGUGCCUCUGGUGUGCUUAUGAGUGACAUGAAUUUUUUUCCACACGUAUGUUCUUCAUAUGUUCCUGUUCACAUAAACUCUCCCUCCCUCCCAGAAUCACGAUUCUGGUCAGUACCCACCUCCCCACCUUGCAACCUGGGGCAUGAAACAGAUUCUUUCCCCUCCUUAAGUGAGAAGAAGCCCCCCCCCCCCCCAAAGAUUGGGGAAUUCAGGAAUCAGUGAAGAGGUGGACACUUCCCAUCUCAAAAAGCUGACUCGUCUUCUUCCCACCAGGGGACCCCCAGCCCUCAGCUGGUGGGGGCAGGUCACAGAUAAGUCGUACAGACCCCCGACCUUCCUGCCUGCUCAAAGGCUCAGAGAGACAUGAACCCCAGUCAUCAGAACGCCACUCCCAGACCCUGGAUGAGGACUAGCGAGUUUGGGGAGGGUCUUGCCCCUUGGGGAAAUUGAAUCUUGGGGAAGGGGUGGUUAGAAGGGCCUGAGUCAGCAAUCUGAAAACCUCACGUGUGCCCACCCCAGCCUGGGGGCGGGCUGGGGAGAAGGAGGGAGCUGAAACAGAAAGAGAGAUGGAGAGACGGAGAAUGAAAGCAGGAGAGAGAGAAACUGAGACAAUGGACAGUCAGAAAGAGAGCAGCGGGCAGAACCGGGGGCGGGGCAGGGCACGGGAAGCAGGGAGAACCGCGGUAAUGGGGGUGCGGGCAGAAGGGGUCACAGGAAUGGUCAUCUUUUCCCUUUCAUCACUAGCAUCACAGAUGCACAAAGGUCAGCGCUGAAAUAAUCCCACUCUCACAAAGGAGGCUUAGUGACAGUCACCAAAAGGGAAAACCAACCUAGGGUAGGACCCACCCUCCUGUCUCCCAGUCUGGGCUCAUUUCCUAAGCCCCGAGGGAACGGGAGGACCAGGCUGCUGGGAUGUUGAGGCACAGCGGGGCAGUCCCAGCAUUCUCUGCUUAACCACCUGCCAGUCUGGGAGGGAAUAGGAUGCCGAGGCAAGCAAGGGGCUCUCUGAUCCCUCAGGUCCCAGGACACCUCUGGCAGAGAGGAAGCCUCCCUCUCCUCGGCCCAUCACGUUCGCCAUCUCCCACCUCCAAGCUGGGGCUGCCGCAUCAUUCCUUACCUUCUUUGGGACAGAAGUAAAUUCAAUGCACAAAGAUCAAGCACCAAAAGUGUUUGUGGGGGUCUGCGUGGUAGACACUGGGACAGGGGAGAAAUAUGUCAAAUAGCACAUAUUUCUUUCUCCGAGGAUCUCACAAGGGAUUGGUCUGACCCUCGGGAACAACCUGCAGGUAAAGGUGGAGCGGAGACCUCUAACAGAGCUGGGAGUCCCCUCUCCAUCCCACCCCAUGGGCCUAGGGCCAGGGUUUCACACUAGACCCUGAUCCUCUUCAUGCCACUUCUGGAAUCUACUCAGAAGCUCCCUUGCUAUUGUUUGGACUAUUCCUCAUGCAGAAUGUUCCUGUGAGUGGCUCCCAGGCUGGCAGGGGAAGUUUGGGCCAUGUCCUGGGAAAUGCCCAAUCUGAUGGGGUAGCAGGACACAGACUGAAGAAAACAACUCCCUAGUUGGGCAAAGCUGGGGUCACCACAGCUGGGAGGGGCCCCGGGGAGAAGGCUCCCAGAGGAGGGAAGGGUGGGUGAAGUAGGCCCCAAAGAAGGACAGGGGCAGGGCUGGGUGUUGGGGCCGAGAGAAGUGCGAGGCUGGGAUGGGGAAUCUGCCCAGUUGGAAGACGGAGGAGCACCAGUGGGUGAAUUUCCCGCCCCACCCCGCCCAGGGGCCAGCUGUUGGACUGGAAAGGCCUGACCUCCCGCCCCCAGCUGCAGGAGUGCUGGAGGCAAGGAAAGAGCCUAAAAGGCCCCCCCAGGGAACCACCUCUCCCCCUUGUUAUUUCUGGCUCCAUUUUUUGGUCAAGAAGGGUGUCAGUGGUAAUGCAAAUUAGGAGGUGUUGGAGGUGCUGGCCGACACCCAUCCUGUCCCCCUCCCAGCCCUCCCCUCCCU